UCACUAGUAAUUGUCACCGUUACGUUAAGCAGCCCGUCACAACUUGGCGUACAACUAUACAUGACUCAAUAUCCGCAACCAUCUUGGCCUAGAUAUUUUCUUGUACAAUGGCCACAUAAACAGGUACGCAACGCUACAGCUGCAUGCCAGAUAACAUUCAGAUGCUACUCGUUCUAUCCCAAACUUCUGCUUAUUUAUAUCCACAAUCACAGCCAAUUCACACUACGGGACAGCUCGUGGUCAUGGGUGCCUAGGAGAAAUCACGGUCCGGGAAGAGCAGAGGGGCGAUGAGGGUCCAGAUGUACAAUGCGGCGGUGACCCACUCCGUGCAGAUGCGCACCCAGACGGUUGUCCAUCCAACAU
Molecule: long non-coding RNA, 363 nt
Filed under: Setaria italica (foxtail millet)
Lineage: Eukaryota; Viridiplantae; Streptophyta; Magnoliopsida; Poales; Poaceae
Description: long non-coding RNA (SITA_LNC006628)
Source: RNAcentral